RNAcentral lists this ribosomal RNA (758 nucleotides) under Haemophilus influenzae. Its description in RNAcentral is "bacterial SSU rRNA". It matches the Rfam family "Bacterial small subunit ribosomal RNA", at positions 28 to 776 of the family's 1533-position model. Lineage: Bacteria; Pseudomonadati; Pseudomonadota; Gammaproteobacteria; Pasteurellales; Pasteurellaceae. The record is from RNAcentral.
AUUGAACGCUGGCGGCAGGCUUAACACAUGCAAGUCGAACGGUAGCAGGAGAAAGGUUGCUUUCUUGCUGACGAGUGGCGGACGGGUGAGUAAUGCUUGGGAAUCUGGCUUAUGGAGGGGGAUAACGACGGGAAACUGUCGCUAAUACCGCGUAUUAUCGGAAGAUGAAAGUGCGGGACUGAGAGGCCGCAUGCCAUAGGAUGAGCCCAAGUGGGAUUAGGUAGUUGGUGGGGUAAAUGCCUACCAAGCCUGCGAUCUCUAGCUGGUCUGAGAGGAUGACCAGCCACACUGGAACUGAGACACGGUCCAGACUCCUACGGGAGGCAGCAGUGGGAAUAUUGCGCAAUGGGGGGAACCCUGACGCAGCCAUGCCGCGUGAAUGAAGAAGGCCUUAGGGUUGUAAAGUUCUUUCGGUAUUGAGGAAGGUUGAUGUGUUAAUAGCACAUCAAAUUGACGUUAAAUACAGAAGAAGCACCGGCUAACUCCGUGCCAGCAGCCGCGGUAAUACGGAGGGUGCGAGCGUUAAUCGGAAUAACUGGGCGUAAAGGGCACGCAGGCGGUUAUUUAAGUGAGGUGUGAAAGCCCCGGGCUUAACCUGGGAAUUGCAUUUCAGACUGGGUAACUAGAGUACUUUAGGGAGGGGUAGAAUUCCACGUGUAGCGGUGAAAUGCGUAGAGAUGUGGAGGAAUACCGAAGGCGAAGGCAGCCCCUUGAGAAUGUACUGACGCUCAUGUACGAAAGCGUGGGGAGCAAACAGG